This 393-nucleotide ribosomal RNA is filed under the name uncultured bacterium. Its description in RNAcentral is "bacterial SSU rRNA". It matches the Rfam family "Bacterial small subunit ribosomal RNA", at positions 30 to 426 of the family's 1533-position model. The record is from RNAcentral.
AUUGAACGCUGGCGGCAUGCCUUACACAUGCAAGUCGAACGGCAGCGCGGGGCAACCUGGCGGCGAGUGGCGAACGGGUGAGUAAUAUAUCGGAACAUACCCUAGAGUGGGGAUAACGUAGCGAAAGUUACGCUAAUACCGCAUACGCACUAAGGUGGAAAGUGGGGGAUUCGCAAGAACCUCAUGCUCAUGGAGUGGCCGAUAUCUGAUUAGCUAGUUGGUGAGGUAAAGGCUCACCAAGGCGACGAUCAGUAGCUGGUUUGAGAGAACGACCAGCCACACUGGAACUGAGACACGGUCCAGACUCCUACGGGAGGCAGCAGUGGGGAAUUUUGGACAAUGGGGGCAACCCUGAUCCAGCAAUGCCGCGUGAGUGAAGAAGGCCUCGGUUGU